UCAUAUCAAAGGUUCAAAGUUGCAUGUAUUAAAGCUUGACCUUAUAUAAAUAAAGUGGAAAAGCGAUGUGUCCCAGAGCAACUGCCUGCUACUCACAUCAACAUUGAUACCCAAAACAAUGCAGUGCAUGUAUCCUCAGGGCUGUAGUCUUGGAUGGGACAGUACUUUACAUAUUUUAUAUUUCGGCAAAAGGUUUUUAGACACAGAUUCUCAAAUCUAUUUGGGUGCCUACUUCCCACUGAUUUCAGUAAGCAUACGUGCUAGGAAGCAUGCAAGACUAGUAACCAGCAAAAGGUCAUAGAGGAAGUUCUUGAACAAAGUCCAAAGAGGGCAUCUGCUGCCUGAAAAUGUAUUGCUGUCUUCACAGAGAGCUAUAUCUUAAGGCUGAUAAACAGUCCUAACUUGCAAAGAAGAGCACAGAAUUUGCAUGCAAUAAUACGGACACAGUGUGCCAAGCAAACAAAAUUAAACCCCUCUUUGUCAGGCUGCAAAAAGGUAAAUGGACAAAGCUCUCAUUCUCUUCCUUUUGAAUGUCUGAGAA
Non-coding RNA from Pelodiscus sinensis (Chinese soft-shelled turtle), 541 nucleotides. NCBI's taxonomy places the organism in Eukaryota, Metazoa, Chordata, Testudines, Trionychidae. The record is from RefSeq and is a predicted model, not a curated record.